UCCUCCUUAAGUCCAUCUAGAGAGUAAGACGGGUCUUUUCCAAUGUUAGCAUUGACCACAAAGUUGAUACCUUCUUUGGUCAUAAGAUCAACCCGGCGUUGAACUAUGUCGAUUUUGUCGGUCUUCAUGUUUGGGACUCCAUACAUCAUAAGCCCACCAAUUCUAUCAGCACGCUCAUAGACCGUUACCGAGUGGCCCAUUUUGUUCAGCUGGUCGGCAGCAGCAAGUCCAGCCGGACCACUUCCGAUAAUUGCAACUUUCUUCCUGCAAACACCAGAAGCAAGACAUGUUAAUCAAUAAAAUGUAAACUCUAUCCAAACAUAAAAACUUCCAACAAUGGAAAAUAAAAUAGCUUACCCUGUCCUCGUGAGAGGAGGUCUUGGUACCAUCCACCCUUCCUCAAAGGCUUUAUCUAUAAUAGAACACUCGAUACUCUUGAUAGAAACGGGGUUCUCGAUUAUACCAAGAACACAUGAACCUUCACACGGUGCCGGGCAUACUCUCCCAGUAAACUCAGGGAAGUUAUUCGUCUCAAGUAGACGAUUCAGCGCUUCUUGCCAUCUGUUUUGGUAAACAAGUUCAUUGAACUCAGGGAUCUUGUUACCUAAGGGACACCCAGAGUUCUCCUGCAAAUUGAAAAUAAAAGAAAAAGUUAAUCAUAAUAUUUAUGAGGAUAACAAACAAAGGCAAUUUAACAUAACAUAUGAGAAUAAAUAUACCUGGUGGCAGAAAGGAGUUCCACAGUCCAUGCAACGAGCAGACUGAGUCUUGAGAAGCGGUCCGGGCUUUGAUUCCUCCAUGACUUCGUUCCAGUCAUUCAUACGAACAUUGGGAUCUCUGUACUUAACUCCCUCACGCUCAUAAGCGAUGAAGCCACGAUGCUUAACAGCAUUAUCUACCAGAGAAGGCUUCUUCGGAGCUUCAGUGGCAGCUCCGUUUCCGGACACAACCUCUUUCGAAGAGGCAGCUGCUGCCAUGUUCUUCAGCUCUGCAAAGGCGUCCUUCUCCUCAAGUUCCUUCUCUUCCAUCUCCUCAGCUUCUUCAGCAGCACGAUCAAUCGCUUGCUUGGAGACCUCCUCGUCCUUCAUGGCCGCCAAAACACGCUUGUAAUCUCUAGGGAAGACCUUGAUAAACUUCGGAAGCAGAUUCUCAAAGUCUCCGAGAACCUCUUGUGCAAGUUGGCUGUUUGUGUGUCGUUGAUGCUGCUGGAUCAUCAUCUUGAGUAUGUCGAUUUUGUCGGUCUUCAUGUUUGGGACUCCAUACAUCAUAAGCCCACCAAUUCUAUCAGCACGCUCAUAGACCGUUACCGAGUGGCCCAUUUUGUUCAGCUGGUCGGCAGCAGCAAGUCCAGCCGGACCACUUCCGAUAAUUGCAACUUUCUUCC
RNAcentral lists this long non-coding RNA (1384 nucleotides) under Brassica napus (rape). RNAcentral's name for it is "long non-coding RNA (BNAP_LNC002189)". The record is from RNAcentral. Lineage: Eukaryota; Viridiplantae; Streptophyta; Magnoliopsida; Brassicales; Brassicaceae.